UAACGUUUGAUGUUCUAACCUAGGCCCAUAAACUGGGUCGGGGACCGUGUCUGGUGGGUAGUUUGACUGGGGCGGUCUCCUCCUAAAGAGUAACGGAGGAGCACGAAGGUUGGCUAAGCAUGGUCGGACAUCAUGCGGUUAGUGCAAAGGCAUAAGCCAGCUUGACUGCGAGAGUGACGGCUCGAGCAGGUACGAAAGUAGGUCUUAGUGAUCCGGUGGUUCUGAAUGGAAGGGCCAUCGCUCAACGGAUAAAAGGUACUCCGGGGAUAACAGGCUGAUACCGCCCAAGAGUUCAUAUCGACGGCGGUGUUUGGCACCUCGAUGUCGGCUCAUCACAUCCUGGGGCUGAAGUAGGUCCCAAGGGUAUGGCUGUUCGCCAUUUAAAGUGGUACGCGAGCUGGGUUUAGAACGUCGUGAGACAGUUCGGUCCCUAUCUGCCGUGGGCGUUGGAAGAUUGAGAGGGGUUGCUCCUAGUACGAGAGGACCGGAGUGAACGCACCACUGGUGUUCGGGUUGUCAUGCCAAUGGCAUUGCCCGGUAGCUAAGUGCGGAAGAGAUAACCGCUGAAAGCAUCUAAGCGGGAAACUUGCC
This 591-nucleotide ribosomal RNA is filed under the name Proteus mirabilis. Its description in RNAcentral is "partial 23S ribosomal RNA". It matches the Rfam family "Bacterial large subunit ribosomal RNA", at positions 2208 to 2798 of the family's 2925-position model. Lineage: Bacteria; Pseudomonadati; Pseudomonadota; Gammaproteobacteria; Enterobacterales; Morganellaceae. The record is from RNAcentral.